GGAUUGGGAGGGUUCUACGGAACCCGUUUGGUGAAUCUAGUGCCGAGAAAAGCCUUCUAUGUGUUGAAUUUCUAGUACCCGUACCCCAAACCGACACAGGUGGGUGGGUAGAGCAUACCUAGGGGCGCGUGAUAACUCUCUCUAAGGAACUCGGCAAAAUGGCCCUGUAACUUCGGGAUAAGGGGUGUCUGCGUGAGCAGGCCGCAGUGAAAUGGCUCUGGCGACUGUUUACCAAAAACACAGGUCUCUGCUAAGUCGUAAGACGAUGUAUAGGGGCUGACUCCUCCCCAGUGCCGGAAGGUUAAGGAAGUUGGUUAGCGCAAGCGAAGCUGGCGACCGAAGCCCCGGUGAACGGCGGCCGUAACAAUAACGGUCCUAAGGUAGCGAAAUUCCUUGUCGGGUAAGUUCCGACCCGCACGAAAGGAGUAACGAUCAGAGCGCUGUCUCGGAGAGAGACACGGCGAAAUAGGAUUGUCCGUGAAGAUACGGACUACCUGCACCCGGACAGAAAGACCCUAUGAAGCUUUACUGUAACUUGGAAUUGUGUUCGGACUUUGUCUGCGCAGAAUAGGUGGGAGGCUAUGAAACGUUCCUCGCGGGGAACUGGAGCCAUCGUUGAGAUACCACUCUGGCAGAGUCUGGAUUCUAACCUACGGGGACAGUUCCAGGUGGGCAGUUUGACUGGGGCGGUCGCCUCCUAAAAUGUAACGGAGGCGCGCAAAGGUUCCCUCAGGCUGGUUGGAAAUCAGCCAUAGAGUGUAAAAGCAUAAGGGAGCUUGACUGUGAGACCUACAAGUCGAGCAGGGACGAAAGUCGGCUUUAGUGAUCCGACGGCACUGAGUGGAAGGGCCGUCGCUCAACGGAUAAAAGUUACUCUAGGAUAACAGGCUGAUCUCCCCCAAGAGUUCACAUUGACGGGGAGGUUUGGCACCUCGAUGUCGGCUCGUCGCAACCUGGGGCGGUAGUACGUCCCAAGGGUUGGGCUGUUCGCCCAUUAAAGCGGCACGUGAGCUGGGUUCAGAACGUCGUGAGACAGUUCGGUCCAUAUCCGGUGUAGGCGUAGGAGCAUUGAAAGGAUCUCUCCUUAGUACGAGAGGACCGGGAGGGACGUACCUCUGGUGUACCUGUUAUCGUGCCAACGGUAAACGCAGGGUAGCCAUGUACGGAGUGGAUAACCGCUGAAAGCAUCUAAGUGGGAAGCCCACCUUAAGAUGAGUGCUCCCUUGAGGCCACGGGAAGACGACCCGUUUGAUAGGCGCUAGGUGGAAGUGCAGUAAUGCAUGCAGCCGAGGCGUACUAAUAGGCCGAUGGCUUGUC
Molecule: ribosomal RNA, 1317 nt
Filed under: metagenome
Description: bacterial LSU rRNA
Rfam family: Bacterial large subunit ribosomal RNA
Source: RNAcentral